CUGAAGGUUGAUGUCACCAUAAACCACAUGUCAUCUUGCACGGCUUCUAAUAUCUUGGAAUUAAAAUUACUGUGAAUGAAAACAUAGGAAUGCAUCUCUUUCAUAAUGCUGAAGGAAUCAAGGAUACUAGAAGUUCAAAUUCUAACGAAAGAGAAGAUAAGCCAACUCUAUCUGCAUAGAUCAAGGCACAAGACCCAGAAUUUUGAGGGAAGGAUGAAAGGCAAAGCCGACCUUCGCAGAAUUUGAACUCAGAACAAAAAGACAGACAGAAAAAGAGUCAUAUUAAUAUAGUAUUCGAGCAGAAUGCUAUUCUGCAGCAAAUUGGCAUGUAUGUGUGACCAAUAAUGUUUACAUUACUGGAGCUGCUUUUAAUAAAAAAUUUUAUUUAAAUAUAUACGCAGCACGGAAUUUUGUCAGUGAACAGGUCACGGUCUCAAAGCGACGAAAAUAU
Long non-coding RNA from Octopus bimaculoides (California two-spot octopus), 451 nucleotides. The record is from RefSeq and is a predicted model, not a curated record. Lineage: Eukaryota; Metazoa; Mollusca; Cephalopoda; Octopoda; Octopodidae.